UUUAAUGUUUGAUGUUCUAACGUGGAUCCGUGAUCCGGGUUGCGGACAGUGUCUGGUGGGUAGUUUGACUGGGGCGGUCUCCUCCUAAAGAGUAACGGAGGAGCACGAAGGUUGGCUAAUCCUGGUCGGACAUCAGGAGGUUAGUGCAAUGGCAUAAGCCAGCUUGACUGCGAGCGUGACGGCGCGAGCAGGUGCGAAAGCAGGUCAUAGUGAUCCGGUGGUUCUGAAUGGAAGGGCCAUCGCUCAACGGAUAAAAGGUACUCCGGGGAUAACAGGCUGAUACCGCCCAAGAGUUCAUAUCGACGGCGGUGUUUGGCACCUCGAUGUCGGCUCAUCACAUCCUGGGGCUGAAGUAGGUCCCAAGGGUAUGGCUGUUCGCCAUUUAAAGUGGUACGCGAGCUGGGUUUAGAACGUCGUGAGACAGUUCGGUCCCUAUCUGCCGUGGGCGCUGGAGAACUGAGGGGGGCUGCUCCUAGUACGAGAGGACCGGAGUGGACGCAUCACUGGUGUUCGGGUUGUCAUGCCAAUGGCACUGCCCGGUAGCUAAAUGCGGAAGAGAUAAGUGCUGAAAGCAUCUAAGCACGAAACUUGCCCCGAGAUGAGUUCUCCCUGAGACUUAGAGUCUCCUGAAGGAACGUUGAAGACGACGACGUUGAUAGGCCGGGUGUGUAAGCGCAGCGAUGCGUUGAGCUAACCGGUACUAAUGAACCGUGAGGCUUAACCUUACAACGCCGAAG
Molecule: ribosomal RNA, 737 nt
Filed under: Salmonella enterica subsp. enterica serovar Infantis
Lineage: Bacteria; Pseudomonadati; Pseudomonadota; Gammaproteobacteria; Enterobacterales; Enterobacteriaceae
Description: partial 23S ribosomal RNA
Rfam family: Bacterial large subunit ribosomal RNA
Source: RNAcentral